UUGCUAACGACUAAAGAGAAGAGUAGCCGUCACAAUCUUUUACAGAAAGCCUGAUUGCUGAGAACAGGUAUUGAGACGCCGGUGAAGAUGAGCUCUUAAAGUAAUUAUCCUGUUCACGCAGAAUAAUCGGUAGGAACCGUUACUUUCCCGGGUAUCAACAGGUACCGAUGAGGCACCACUUGUGAAAGUGGUGUGAACUAGGGUGGUAACACGAAGCAUUCGUCCCUUAA
This 230-nucleotide non-coding RNA is filed under the name Lentilactobacillus curieae. RNAcentral's name for it is "Lactobacillus curieae T-box sequence". It matches the Rfam family "T-box leader". Rfam says of the family: Uncharged tRNA acts as the effector for transcription antitermination of genes in the T-box leader family. T-boxes are found upstream of many aminoacyl-tRNA synthetase genes and some amino acid biosynthetic genes usually in Gram-positive bacteria. The record is from RNAcentral. Lineage: Bacteria; Bacillati; Bacillota; Bacilli; Lactobacillales; Lactobacillaceae.